Molecule: ribosomal RNA, 497 nt
Filed under: uncultured bacterium
Lineage: Bacteria
Description: partial 16S ribosomal RNA
Rfam family: Bacterial small subunit ribosomal RNA
Source: RNAcentral
GAUGAACGCUGGCGGCGUGCCCAAUACAUGCAAGUCGAGCGAACAGACGAGGAGCUUGCUCCUCUGACGUUAGCGGCGGACGGGUGAGUAACACGUGGAUAACCUACCUAUAAGACUGGGAUAACUUCGGGAAACCGGAGCUAAUACCGGAUAAUAUAUUGAACCGCAUGGUUCAAUAGUGAAAGACGGUUUUGCUGUCACUUAUAGAUGGAUCCGCGCCGCAUUAGCUAGUUGGUAAGGUAACGGCUUACCAAGGCAACGAUGCGUAGCCGACCUGAGAGGAUGAUCGGCCACACUGGAACUGAGACACGGUCCAGACUCCUACGGGAGGCAGCAGUAGGGAAUCUUCCGCAAUGGGCGAAAGCCUGACGGAGCAACGCCGCGUGAGUGAUGAAGGUCUUCGGAUCGUAAAACUCUGUUAUUAGGGAAGAACAAAUGUGUAAGUAACUAUGCACGUCUUGACGGUACCUAAUCAGAAAGCCACGGCUAACUACGUG